This 671-nucleotide long non-coding RNA is filed under the name Zea mays. RNAcentral's name for it is "long non-coding RNA (ZMAY_LNC003499)". The record is from RNAcentral. Lineage: Eukaryota; Viridiplantae; Streptophyta; Magnoliopsida; Poales; Poaceae.
AAAUAUGGAAACACAAAAUAGGAACAUUGAGACAUAGAACCAGUCUCAGCUUGCAUUUCUGUCGUUAGAUAACAGUCAGGAUACCCUCAAUACAAAUUUUAACAGAUUAAAUAUAAAAGUUAGGAUGGACCGAACGGAAUUUAACCUGGCCAUUUUUCAUCUCUAGUCCUAUGAGUACACUGCACACAGUGGAUUACCAUAGAUGUACAGUACAGCAGUACUUAGGGUGCGUUUGGUUUGACUUUUAGCUUUUGGCUUUUGCCCCCUAAAAGCCAAAAGCCAACCAAAGGGUUGGAUUCAGGAAGCAGCUUUUUCUAAAAGCCGACUUUCUCACAGUGUAAAUCUGAAAGCACCCCUGAACCUGCUUUUAGUGGCUUUUCGGAUGGAACUGUGAAAACAUAUAUCGAAAAACUUUUAACGAUUUUUAGUAGUUUCCACCAAACGGUUUUUAGCUUUUUAACGGCUCACAGCCUACAGCAGCUUUUUCCACAGCUCACAGCCCACAGCAACUUUUUUCACAGCCACAGCCCAACCAAACAGACCCUUAAAACUGUGGUGACUUUUCAUUACAUUGUACAUGUUGAAAAUGGUAGUCACAUCAUGUUCUAAGGUUGUGACUAGUCAUGCAUAUCAUCGUGCAAAGCACUGUUGCGCUGUAGAUUACACUUUUU